ACAGUUUGAUUCUAGCUGCCCAAUUAAUUAUCUUUAACAAAAAUACAUGCAAAUUUUUUUCCUCCCGUGAGUAAGCCACCUCUUUCUUUAUUUUAAAAAUAAAAUCUUCCCGCCAAGUAUAAGAUAUAACCAAAACACUUAAGCAACCUCACGCCUGCAGUAUUUAAUUCUGCUUCCAUUUACUAAAGUAAGAAACGGGUAAAAGAAAAGAGUUGACCAAAAUCGUGCCAGCAGUCGCGGUUAAACAAUAAACUCAAAUUAAUUUUUCCGGGUUCACUGCGGUAAGAUAUACCCAUGAUAGCAACCAAAGCCCAAAUAAGUUAAAUUUGAUCAGCCAUAACUUCCUAUCACACUUCAACCCCGCGAAAGCUAAGACAAAAACAAGGAUUAGAUACCCUUCUAUUCUUAGCUAUAAAUCACCUCACCAGAGGACUACAAGCUCAUGCUUAAAACUCAAAGAACUUGACGGCCCUUCAACCUCCUAGGGGAACCUGUUUUUUAAUCCGAUACCCCCCGUUCACCUCACUUUGUCUUGCAAUCUCCAGCCUGUGUAUUGCCGUCGUCAGUUUACCUUGCAAAAGACCUAGUAAACCCAAUGAAAUAACUCAUAACGUCAGGUCGAAAUGCAGCCAAUGAUAAAGGAAAAAUGGGUUACAAUCUAAAACUAGAAACGAAAAGAAAGCUUAAACUCUUUCAUGAAGGCGGACUUAAAAGUAAUAAAAAAAAGAAUUCUUUAUGAAUUAGGCCAUCUGAAGCGUGUACACACCGCCCGUCACUCUCACUGAAAAGCGAGAUAAGUCGUAACAAGGUAGGCGUAACGGAAGUUGCGCCUU
RNAcentral lists this ribosomal RNA (833 nucleotides) under Sternaspis scutata. RNAcentral describes it as "12S ribosomal RNA". Lineage: Eukaryota; Metazoa; Annelida; Polychaeta; Terebellida; Sternaspidae. The record is from RNAcentral.